CCAAGACCCCCACACUUCCCGAUCCCCAGCCAGAGAUGUCGCGAGCCCUAUCCCCUUUCUCCAAGGACCGCUGCAGUGGAGAACCUGGGGUUUGGAACCAUCAAACCAUCAAGUCAAAGUGAGUUGUGUUCUCAUGUGGGAUCC
Fundulus heteroclitus (mummichog) is the source of this 144-nucleotide long non-coding RNA. RefSeq lists it as uncharacterized. The record is from RefSeq and is a predicted model, not a curated record. Lineage: Eukaryota; Metazoa; Chordata; Actinopteri; Cyprinodontiformes; Fundulidae. The transcript has 3 exons.